CCCGUUUCCCUCUUUUUUUAAAGCGAACGCGGGGAACCCGCGGGUUGUGCCGGCUCGGCGCGAAGUCUGCGCGCCCCCGCACGUAGAGAAUAGUUUUAUACAUUUAAAAAAUAAAUGCUAGUGUAACCGAAGAAUAAUUCGCCGAAAUAAUUUAAAAUGUUAAAGAAAGUCUAAUUGGCAGCCAGCUUGUGCUUUUUUUUUUCCUUUUCCCCUCGCUGGUUGCUCGCUUUGUACAGGAAAUUUGAAUAUCCUGGCAAGGGCCAGCUUCCCAGGGCAGCCUCGCAGCGCUUUGGGAGCGGCAGUGAUGGAGCAACUUGCGCAGCGCAGGGACUUUUCCCCCUCUAAUUGAUCCUACGUACAAUAUUUUUCCCAUAUUUGCAUCAGGUAUAUAAAGACAAUUUUUUUGCGUUUGGAGAGUGAGUUUUCCAAGGCUAAAUCAUUAAUUGCUCCCCACAAAAACCUGAAAUUCUGCUUGUGUGUUGUAUGCGUGUUAAGUGUAGGUGAGGGACCAUCUGCCAAGUUUCAUCAUCUUCUGUUCUGAAGAAAUCCAAAGAGCUCACCGGCAACUGCAAAAGUCUGUAUUUAGUUAAUCGACUUUGGUGGGAAAUACAGCAAAACUGAGCUACUAAUGCAGUAAACGUUUAUUAAAUAUAAGAGGGAAGCUUUAAGUAAUGCUUCAGGCAAACUGACCCAAAUCUAAGAAGGAAAAAAAAAGUCAAUGUGUUUCUUAUAUUUUGAAUUACUCUUCAUCUGACUAAAAAAGAAAUACGGUUUUUUUUGUUUGUUUUUUUCCUGUUCUUAACAAAUAAACUUUAUAGGAAUUGGACUUUCAAAUCUGACCCUUGUUGUUUAGAAGUGGAUGAGAUGACAAUGCUAAAACUUGGAAGUAAGAAAAAGCAUCAUACUUUUCUUCUCCUCAGCAGUGUUGAGAAAAAACUGUGGAUCCUGGAAUUUUACUGUGGAUUUUACUGGUUUUCUGGAGUGCUCUCCCACUGAAGCAGCAAUCUGAUUGUGUCCAGAGAGUCCAUGCAGGAGCUGGUGUGCCUGUGUUCAGAGGUGAGUUGGGAAGGUAAGCUCAUGUCCCACCUGCUCCAAAAUACCUGCAGCAUCUGCAGCCCUCUGGGUAAAUGCAAGUCCCUCUGACAUGCAUAUCCCUUCUCGAGUACUGCAGGUAAUACCUUGGAGACAUUCAAGUGAACUCAAAUUACCCUGUUCAGCUGCCAAUUUCUGAUUUAAAGUUGAGUUUCCAAAGCACAAACUAAGUUUGAAAGAAGCUGAAGUGGGACAUGGGAUAAUUCAAACAUGAAACUUUCUAUUGCACAAAAUAUUGAUGCUGUCAUGUCAUAAAUGUGCAUAUUUUUUCAGAUUUAUAGUUCACUGCCUGUCCCAAAUUUCCAGUUGCCCAAUACUUGGUGUGACUGUUGAUUUUCCCUCUGUGCUAGAGGUUGGUGGAGGUGUACUAAACCCUUGCUUUGAAAAGUCCUCCUUACUGAAGAAAGCUUCCUGCCCUUGUUGUUGAACUAAGCAAAAGUCUGGUUUAUACAAAUAUAAAAACAUUAAUUAAAAUGUGAACCUCAAACACCAUCAAAAUGGAUUCUAAAGCUGAACCUGUUUGCUGUUGCUUUUUUCUUUUGAAUUCAUUUGAAGAGAUGAAAGAAAUAAGAUUGCACAGGUACAGUCAAGUAAAACAUUGUUACAGAAGUAAUUAAUGGUAAUAUUAUGUGGGGGGAUGUGAUUUAGCUCGUACAGGCUUAGCACUGGGUACGUGUUUGCUUUGCAGCAAGUAGCACCUGCUCAUUAGGGAGUUGGCCCUGGUGUUGUCAGUGUUGAGGACACUGAAGGGGUGAAAAUAUACUGGUUUUUUGUUGGCAAAUAUUUGAUUUCAAAUUUGAAAUCACUUGGCAUGGGUCACAAGAGCUUUUGAAAUUCCUAUUUUUAAGUUUGCUGAAGAGGCAGGGACUCAGCACGUUGGGCACGAGGGGAUGGCACAAGAAUUCUUACCCAAGGCGUCAUUUCUGACAUUGUUCAGGUUUUUUUGUGAUGCUGCUUUUUAAGAAAAUGAAUUGAAGGAAGUUGUCACAUAGCUGGGGGGGGGAGGGUUGGUUGAAAGGAAAUACAAAAAAUAUCAGUCUGUUUGCACGGCUCCUGUGCAGCCCAGGCAGGCUGGUGUGUAAGUGCCACUGGCAGCUCCCUUCUGCAGGGCUGCAGCCUCUCCCUGCCCUGUUCUGGUGCUUUCUGCUCUGGUACAGCCAGGGAAUGUGAUGAAGUUCCAGAGAUCUUUAAUUGCUCAUCGUAUAAGGUUUGUCCAUUCACAUUGUAAAUAAGCAUAAUUUAAUAUUUUCAAAAAUAGGGAAUUUUUUACGUAUGUCAAAAGUCAAAUUGAGCUGAUUAGAAGUAUUUUAAGGAAAAUUUAACAGGUUUCAACUAUUGGAAUCUGGAUUUAUUUAUCUGAAAUAUUAACAUUGUGACUUUUGGAAAAUCUUUGAUAUUCAACAUCACCUAAGAGAAAAGUACAAGGUAGUGUUUCCCCACAGACCAGUUGGAAGGGCUGGGAAGUUCUUCAGGCUCUUCACAGUAGCAAAAGCAACAGAUCAGCUGGAUCUGAAAGUGUAUUAUUUGCUGGGACCCAAUACUAAGUGUGGUUUGGGGCUGGGGGGAGCAGUUAAUUUCUGAUGUUUCUGAAACUGGUUUGUUUGCACUGUAUAACUGCUUGUUCUCUUAUAGUUACAGACUGUCUGAUAGCACCUGUGAAGAAAAAAAAAGCCCUGUCCUGUGGUGGUAAUGCAUGCAUGUUAAAUGUCUUCAUUGUAGAGUGUUCUUCAGUUCUUUAUAUCAUAGUUUUU
Molecule: long non-coding RNA, 2843 nt
Organism: Sturnus vulgaris (Common starling)
Lineage: Eukaryota; Metazoa; Chordata; Aves; Passeriformes; Sturnidae
Source: RefSeq, a predicted model, not a curated record